UGGGGAAUUUUGGACAAUGGGCGAAAGCCUGAUCCAGCAAUGCCGCGUGUGUGAAGAAGGCCUUCGGGUUGUAAAGCACUUUUGUCCGGAAAGAAAUCCUUGGCUCUAAUACAGUCGGGGGAUGACGGUACCGGAAGAAUAAGCACCGGCUAACUACGUGCCAGCAGCCGCGGUAAUACGUAGGGUGCAAGCGUUAAUCGGAAUUACUGGGCGUAAAAGCGUGCGCAGGCGGUUUGCUAAGACCGAUGUGAAAUCCCCGGGCUCAACCUGGGAACUGCAUUGGUGACUGGCAGGCUAGAGUAUGGCAGAGGGGGGUAGAAUUCCACGUGUAGCAGUGAAAUGCGUAGAGAUGUGGAGGAAUACCGAUGGCGAAGGCAGCCCCCUGGGCCAAUACUGACGCUCAUGCACGAAAAGCGUGGGGGAGCAAAACAGGAUUAGAUACCCUGGUAGUCCACGCCCUAAAACGAUGU
RNAcentral lists this ribosomal RNA (470 nucleotides) under uncultured bacterium. RNAcentral's name for it is "partial 16S ribosomal RNA". It matches the Rfam family "Bacterial small subunit ribosomal RNA", at positions 355 to 812 of the family's 1533-position model. The record is from RNAcentral.